Molecule: ribosomal RNA, 497 nt
Filed under: uncultured bacterium
Lineage: Bacteria
Description: partial 16S ribosomal RNA
Rfam family: Bacterial small subunit ribosomal RNA
Source: RNAcentral
GAUGAACGCUGGCGGCGUGCCUAAUACAUGCAAGUCGAGCGAACGGACGAGAAGCUUGCUUCUCUGAUGUUAGCGGCGGACGGGUGAGUAACACGUGGAUAACCUACCUAUAAGACUGGGAUAACUUCGGGAAACCGGAGCUAAUACCGGAUGAUAUUUUGAACCGCAUGGUUCAAAAGUGAAAGACGGUCUUGCUGUCACUUAUAGAUGGAUCCGCGCUGCAUUAGCUAGUUGGUAAGGUAACGGCUUACCAAGGCAACGAUGCAUAGCCGACCUGAGAGGGUGAUCGGCCACACUGGAACUGAGACACGGUCCAGACUCCUACGGGAGGCUGCAGUAGGGAAUCUUCCGCAAUGGGCGAAAGCCUGACGGAGCAACGCCGCGUGAGUGAUGAAGGUCUUCGGAUCGUAAAACUCUGUUAUUAGGGAAGAACAUAUGUGUAAGUAACUGUGCACAUCUUGACGGUACCUAAUCAGAAAGCCACGGCUAACUACGUG